This 406-nucleotide ribosomal RNA is filed under the name uncultured bacterium. RNAcentral's name for it is "partial 16S ribosomal RNA". It matches the Rfam family "Bacterial small subunit ribosomal RNA", at positions 29 to 526 of the family's 1533-position model. The record is from RNAcentral.
AUUGAACGCUGGCGGCAGGCCUAACACAUGCAAGUCGAACGAGUGGAGGACGGGUGAGUGAUGACGGGGAAACUGGCUGAUGGAGGGGAACAACUAGAGGAAAGGGUAGAUAAUACAGCAUAUCAGAGGAUGUGCCCAGGUGGGAGUAGCUAGUAGGUGGGGUAAAGGCUCAACUAGGCGACGAUCCCUAGCUGGUCUGAGAGGAUGACCAGCCACACUGGAACUGAGACACGGUCCAGACUCCUACGGGAGGCAGCAGUGGGGAAUAUUGGACAAUGGGCGCAAGCCUGAUCCAGCCAUGCCGCGUGUGUGAAGAAGGCCUUCGGUUUGUAAAGUACUUUCAGCGGGGAGGCGUUACCCGCAGAAGAAGCACCGGCUAACUCCGUGCCAGCAGCCGCGGUAAUUC